GUGGGUUUAUUGUCAACUUCGAAGAUGCUAACUUAAGUCAGCAUGCACGUCGAUCUGCCUUUGGAGAGCUUCACAGAGUCAAAUCGUUCGAGAGCUGGAAAAGCUGACGAGGGUCGAGGAAUACGCCUCUAUCUCGCUGAUAGAUAGGAGAGCUAGGCGUUGUCUUCUGCCUAGUCAUGGUUGUGCUUGCAGAGACUGGUGCUAGAACGUCAUGCUCGGUGGCUUGCGUUUCAGACGAACGCCACAUGUUCGAUAAUUUGUCUCAGAGAACAGCACCGCCACCCUUCGCCUAUCCAUCGCCAUCUCGCUUCUUUGUUUGCGUGGGUUUGAUUAAGAUGCUUAUUACUUUUAUUUUUUAAUAUACACAUAACACAGGUAGUUAUUGUUUAUUAUUCUUACCAGAAAACUUAAUUUCCCAUAUUCUACUUCUUUUUAAUAGUUUUAUAAAGUAAGUAUGAAAUGGGAUAAGCCAUCGUGUAUCUGUGGAGCGCAGCCUGGUCCUUGUAUUAUGUUUGGUUGAGAAUUAGUUGCUGUUGGCAAUUGAAAUUUUAUCAGAACAAUAUUUCAAUUUCAAGACAAAUAAAAUAUACUACUAGUUUAAAACACUAGGCAAGAAUCUUAGGGGGUUCACAUUCAUUGAGAUGGUAGCCAAAAAAUUGAAUACAAGAACCUAAGAGACCAAAAUUCAAUAAUAUUUAGAUUCACUCGUGACUACUGCCACCAAUACACAAGGUUGCUUUUUCUCACUGCUUUCAGUCUCAGUCUUUGACAAGAAACUGUAGUUGCGUGCUAUUUUGGAGGGUUAUGUGGAUCCUUUGCUAUGCAUCUCGUGGCUGCAUCGCAAGUCCAAGAACACUGAGGUCGAUGACCCAUCGUGGACGACGAGAUCACGGUCAAGCUGGUGCAGCAGAAGCUUAUUUUAGUUUUCAUAAUCUCUGUUAUAUCUAGAGAUGGUUUUGCAAGGAUGAUAUGCAUGUAUUAAGAGCAUCAUUUUCGAUGUUUAUUCUUA
Molecule: long non-coding RNA, 1009 nt
Organism: Salvia miltiorrhiza (redroot sage)
Lineage: Eukaryota; Viridiplantae; Streptophyta; Magnoliopsida; Lamiales; Lamiaceae
Exons: 2
Source: RefSeq, a predicted model, not a curated record